This 145-nucleotide microRNA precursor is filed under the name Oryza sativa (Asian cultivated rice). Its description in RNAcentral is "miR166a stem-loop (osa-MIR166a)". Its record names the gene osa-MIR166a. The stretch from base 15 to 135 matches the Rfam family "mir-166 microRNA precursor family". From Rfam's summary of the family: This family represents the plant microRNA (miRNA) precursor mir-166. Animal miRNAs are transcribed as ~70nt precursors and subsequently processed by the Dicer enzyme to give a ~22nt product. The record is from miRBase by way of RNAcentral. Lineage: Eukaryota; Viridiplantae; Streptophyta; Magnoliopsida; Poales; Poaceae.
UGAAGCUAUUUGCUUCUGAGUGGAAUGUUGUCUGGUUCAAGGUCUCAUGCACCUUGCGGUUUUGAGGAUGAUUUGUGCAAGGUUUUUCAUUCCUCUCAUCCGUGGGAUCUCGGACCAGGCUUCAUUCCCCUCAGAGAUAGCUUCA